Molecule: long non-coding RNA, 5283 nt
Organism: Lethenteron reissneri (Far Eastern brook lamprey)
Lineage: Eukaryota; Metazoa; Chordata; Hyperoartia; Petromyzontiformes; Petromyzontidae
Source: RefSeq, a predicted model, not a curated record
GUUUACCGGCGUUGUCGCGAGCUUCUUGAGCGGCCGUCAAACGCAACGGGCACGUCUAAUGGACAUUCGUUAUUUUUCGGCAACAAGGCAGGAUCAUUCCCUGGCGGUGGCAGCAGCAGACCCGUCGAGGCCACCGCAUUCCCGCGGAACCGCUAAUCAAAUGUGAGUCCGCUAUUUGUGCCGCGCCAAACGUUACCUUUCAAGUUACGCACACACUGAAAUAAUAAGCGACUUUUAAACGAACCAAGGCUGUGCAGUUUCCAAACGUCCUGCUUGUCUAAACAGAGGUAGUGGGGGGGGGGGGGAUUUUUGUUGUUGUAAAGGGAAGUGGUUGGGUGGUGGUGGUGGCGGCGGCGGAAAGAAAUGUGAGUUCAUUAUUUCUUUCACCAAUUGUUUUUCUCCUCCUCCUCCCCCUGUAGAGUAGCAGCUGAGGCUGAGAUCAUUUGUUAGCGGCGCCGGGGAUAACCCCGAGACGAGCGGUGACUGUGGGGCCGGGGAGCCAUCCCCACGAGCCGCCUGCCGUGCCGACAUCCCUCGCCUGGCAGCGGCAGGGUCGCCUCCCUCCCCCACACUCGCCCCUGAGCCCCUUCCUGAUCAAAUAAUUGCCGUGUUUUUCGACGUCCCCCCUUUGCCACCCCCCAACCCUCCCUUCUUGCCAGUUACAAAUGCCAGCGGAUUUAAGUGCGUCUGUGCAUGAUAACAGAACGGCAAAAAUGGAACAAAGUAAAUAAUCAAAAAUUGGCUAAAACUAUUUUGGUGUUAAUUUUGUAAAAAAAUAAUCCACGUGGUUUUUGUGUGCCACUUACUGAAAGAUCCAUUUACCGUAAGUUGUUCAUUCGUAAGUGUUUGUGGGGUUUUAUUUUUUUGCUUCAAGGAGCCAUUCUUCGAGCAGACGAAGGUCUCGUUUUGUUUGUUGAAGCGAAUCGAGAACGGGAAGGGACAAGUGGCACGUGUUCGCAUGGCUCGAGGAUGGCUCUAAGAUAUGCGCGCACCACACCCACUUAAAGGUACAACCCGAGAUCCUGCGCACAAAUACAUUCUAAGUACCCGUCUAAAAUAAUACAUUCUAAACGAACGGUUGUAUGUAUUGCCGUAGCAAAGAAAUGCCUUUUAAACAAUCCCACUCAAUUGUCGACCAACGAAUCAUCACCUCGUGUGUUGUAUUAAGUGGACGGCUCGAUUUUUGUUGGGACGGACCUGUCAUGGAUUAUUGAUGCACAUCUGAAACAAAGCUUGGUUGAUCAGCAGUCCUCGUUCAUCUGCAGAUGGAGAUCCAAGUAACUUGGUGCGGCAUCCCACGCCGUCCGUGUCGCCUCCCUCUCUCAAAUCAAGGUCGCGUUCACAAUGCCGCUGCCGUAAACGGGACGUCAUUGCCCUGGUUUUCCAAGCGAUCCCAGAUUUUUUUUUGAGGAUGUCAUUAAAAGGCAGAUUCCGCAGCCCUGUGAUUUGCAUGCCGACGGCACUUUUGGAAAGUCCCUUCUAUAGAGCAUUUUGCUCCACUCGUCCACGCCGGCCAGAUGGGAUACCCACACUUUACCCCACCACACGUGACCUGACAAUCGUAGAACUGUGGUAAACCCAUCGAUACUGCUGGGUGGACAGAGUUGGGUUGGUGGUGGUGGGGGGGACACCUCCAUUGUUUCAACUGCUGAGAUUUUCUCAGCUCAUGCGUGCGGAAAAAUUUCCCCGGUUACUAUGUUGACAUCAAUUACGCACACAAUGGCCCCUACAUUGUUCGUUGCUGGAGGUUUAAUUUGAAAACGGUUGUAUAAUACGGCACGCAACGUACAUCUUUCAGUUGAAGAGCUCGCGACAAUACUGUUUGUACAGAAUUAUGAUAAUGUACAAACCUCCACUGUGUCAUUAAUGAGGCUUUGUUUAACCAUACUUCACCACGUACGAGAGUGGAGAUGUGUGAAGAGGACGGGUGCCCAGCAUCGGUCGUGGCCGGACUAAGCUAGUGCGGGGCCUGUAGCAUGAUGUUAUAAAGGGGCCCUAAAUAAAUAAAUAAACACACAAAUAUUAAAAUACACAUUUUUUACUUGCAUAGUAAAGUAAUUGUAUUUUUUCCAUUUGCUAUACAACCAGAUAAUACGACACAUCGCUAACCUUAAACACCCAGUCGUUCAUAAAAGCCGAAGGCGGUAUAGUACUAUAGUAAUAGAGCAAGUGCAGAAUCACCCAACCGGACUUGAUCGCUUGAAAGCAUUUAGCGCGGGGCCCUUGAAAGUGCGGGACCCGUAGCAUUUGCUGCUUUUGCUACUGGGAUCAUCCGGCACUGGGUCGAACCCAGGUGUCAAGGAGUCGGCGGCGCCGCGAGCGGACAGCUGUGCGCAGCGCUCCUCUCCUCUGUUUUUACACGCGGGACUGCACUAUGAUCGACAGAGGACUACGCUGGUGCGUGACGUCAUUUAUGGACGGCCCCCUAUCACCGACCCGCGCCGGCCAGCACGCUGCAGUAUGGCUCAGCAACUCCACGUGGCCAACACGCAUGGGGAGUCGUUCAUCCAGCAGCGGAUCGGCAAAGGGCUGUAAGCAAGAGUAAUCGUAAUAAUUGUUUUUUUACCCUUUUAUCUGGCAACAAAACUGACACCUUUUUUACAAGGAGUCAUGUUUGCAUUGACCACAAUACCUGCAGUCGAAAUGCAAACAAAAAACAUAACUCUGAUAAUGUAUGCACUGUCCUUGAAGUUGAUUGGUCCACACCCGAGACAGCUUUCUUUAGAGCCUCGUCUCACAUGGUGUUGGAUCAGAUGACGCCAAAAGGCGCACAACUCAAGGACAAUGCACCAUCAGAGUAUGAGAGCUCGGGGUAAGCAUUUACACCAUUGGAACCUCAUUUGCCAGUAGCAAAAUAUGAUAAUUGUUUUUUUACCCUUUUAUCUGGCAACAAAACUGACACCUUUUUUACAAGGAAUCAUGUUUGCAUUGACCACAGUUUUGUUGCCAGAUAAAAGGGUAAAAACCCAAUUAUCAUAUUUUGCUGCUGGCAAAUGAGGUUCCAAUUGAGUAAUCGUAAUGUAGAGUAGAACCCCUCUUAACGACGGUCAUUGGUUCCACGAAACGGGUCGUUGAGUGAUUUGGUCGCGAAGCGAGUACAGGAAAUACAGUUUAAAGGCGUAAUUCGUUCCGAUAGCAUCGACAUUUAUCCUUUUUCAACCAAAACAAGUACUUUCUAAUAUUUAAACAACGGAUAAUAAUACAUAAUAAUGCAUUGUAAACGCAUAAUAUUAUCAGAAACAUGGUUAAUCAAUAAAUUAAUUAACAGUUACUGUACCUACUAAAGCCCGUCGUUAACAGGGAAUUGGUCGGUAAGCAAACACAUUGGGCUCUGUGGAGGCACUACAGUAAUAUACACUACACUAUACACUACACUAUGCACUACACUAUGCACUGCACGACAAUACACUACACUAUGCACUACACUAUACACUACACUAUACACGACACUAUGCACUACACUAUAUACUACACUAUACACUACACUAUACACUACACUACUAUACACUACACUACUAUACACUACACUAUACACUACACUAUACACUACACUACUAUAAACUACACUAUACACUACACUAUACACUGCACUACUAUACACAACACUAUACACUACACUAUACACUACACUAUACACUACACUGCUAUACACUACACUAUACACUACACUAUACACUACACUACUAUACACUAAACUACUAUACACUACACUACUAUACACUACACUAUACACUACACUAUACACUACACUACUAUACACUACACUACUGUACACUACACUAUGCACUACACAUUGGGCUUUAUGGAGGCCCAUCGUAAGCGAUUAGUCGUUCACAGGGGUGGUCGUUAAGAGGGGUUCUACUUUGUAUAUACUCUGUAGUUUUUUUCUUCUCGACUGUAUUAAUCGCGAUGAAAUCAAGAUGAGAGGGUGAUGCCACUGAAAAAGCACAUUGCAUCCAGAUGCAUGGUGUGGUACACGGAGCUCUUGGUGAGACGGGCUUUCUUGGCACAGAAAACACAUUAGCACAUUAAAGGCAGAGCCGUUUCCAAACUAAACCACAGAGCUGAAAUGUCCCUGGCUGAAAGCAUGGGUAAUGUAAUAAUUGUUUACAGCACACAAAAGUAACAGAAUGAAGGGGUAAUACAUGGCGUGUUUUUGAUGCUUUAUUUUUUUGUAUAAUUGAGGGCAGGUACUAUCGACAGACAUGUUGCUCUAUAAAUAACAACGUUAACGUAAUACAACUUAGACGGCAGUCAAGUAACACAUUUCCCCAACAGUAAAAAUAGCAAAUGGCUUUGUUAAAACGGCUGCUUUCACCAUCAAGAACAUAUAUUGCUUCUUAGAUUUUUCUUCUGCCAAUGUGACAAAUCCACUUAAGCACGUUGAUGUCAAUCGCCUGGCGGUGGUGACGACCCACGUGACUCGCGUGGCUCCAGGGUUGGUGGGUCACCACACACAUUUGGCGAAACUCCAUUCCCUGUGUGCGUCGAAGAGACGCCGUGGAGAAUGUGGACCAGACGUCACCCGUCCCUUCUGCACGGGGAUCGAGCGUUGCCACCUCGCACGCGCGGGUUUUCUCCCACACUUAUCAAAACUAAUCAUUCGUUGGCUGAAUUAUUUUUGUUUAUCCAUGCGCGGCCGCCUCUGCUCCGCGUUUGCGGAUUGCGCAGCGUUGUGCGGUGCGGUUGCAUAAGUGGCGCUGAUUUACACGUUGUAAAGCUUGAAUUUGUAAUUAAAAUAUUAGAUUAAUACAUGUGAUUAACAUUGACUUUGGACUGGAUGCAAGGUAUUCUGGUAAGGAUUUUAUUUUUCUCUUUCUACCCGUUAGGAACAUUUGGACCACAGUCAUUCAAUAUGGUCCGAAAAGAGCACAACACGCUCAAGAAUAACACUGUGGCCGUAUUAGGCAGAUGUGCUGUGAAGAAGGUUCGUUGCCCAAAACGUCGUCUAUUAUAUGUUAUUUCAUUCAAGGCAGUGUUUUCGACAAAUGUGUUCAGUUUUUUUUGGUGGAUGUUGCAUGCUAUGACGUUUUAUGAACCCACAUUGGCCCGCACUGGGACACUGAGAUCAUUGGAUGAAAUUGCACCUCAUGAAUUUCAAUGAUUAUUAAUAUUAAUAACUGCCUAAGCCUACCGACUCAGUCUUCAUACUCUUUUGCCAGAGCGUCCUGAUAACUUUUCACACCUGACGACUGCCACGUGUUUCAUAAUUAAGUAAUUUGCGAUUAAUUAUUGAUUGCAAAUUUGGACCGUGGCGCUGACACAACAUGAAGGGGCAGCAUG